AAUGUUGCCUCGGGGUGGCCAAAGGCCUGAGAUACCUCUUUAAAAAGAGAGAACCCGAUGAACCUGAUCCAGAUAACACUGGCGUAGGGACAGGCUAAAACACCGACU
Molecule: non-coding RNA, 108 nt
Filed under: Methylophaga thiooxydans
Lineage: Bacteria; Pseudomonadati; Pseudomonadota; Gammaproteobacteria; Thiotrichales; Piscirickettsiaceae
Also listed under: 1 other name
Description: TPP sequence
Rfam family: TPP riboswitch aptamer (THI element)
About the family: Vitamin B(1) in its active form thiamin pyrophosphate (TPP) is an essential coenzyme that is synthesised by coupling of pyrimidine and thiazole moieties in bacteria. The previously detected thiamin-regulatory element, thi box was extended, resulting in a new, highly conserved RNA secondary structure, the THI element, which is widely distributed in eubacteria and also occurs in some archaea. Analysis of operon structures identified a large number of new candidate thiamin-regulated genes, mostly transporters, in various prokaryotic organisms.
Source: RNAcentral